RNAcentral lists this long non-coding RNA (226 nucleotides) under Elaeis guineensis (African oil palm). RNAcentral's name for it is "long non-coding RNA (EGUI_LNC007417)". The record is from RNAcentral. Lineage: Eukaryota; Viridiplantae; Streptophyta; Magnoliopsida; Arecales; Arecaceae.
UAGAGGAAUGAUGAAGCCCUCAGCUUCAAUUUUUGCCCACCUUUCACUCCUCCAUUCUCCAGGAAUCGAUUUUAAGUCAGUUCAAGAUGCUGCAGAUAGAGCCAUACAAUGGCUCUACCAAUCCUCUAGAUCACCUUAUAGGCUACAAGGUUCUCGUGAUGCUCGAGGGCACCUUGAAUGUCCCUCUCUGCCUCAUCUUCCCUUCAACCUUAAAGAAGGUGGCACG